UGACGGUACCAUAUGAAUAAGCACCGGCUAACUCCGUGCCAGCAGCCGCGGUAAUACGGAGGGUGCAAGCGUUACUCGGAAUCACUGGGCGUAAAGCGCGCGCAGGCGGCCUUUUAAGUUGGAUGUGAAAGCCUACGGCUUAACCGUAGAACUGCAUCCAAAACUACUAGGCUAGAGUGUGGGAGAGGAAGAUGGAAUUAGUUGUGUAGGGGUAAAAUCCGUAGAGAUAACUAGGAAUACCAAAAGCGAAGGCAAUCUUCUGGAACACUACUGACGCUGAGGCGCGAAAGCGUGGGGAGCAAACAGG
This 307-nucleotide ribosomal RNA is filed under the name uncultured bacterium. RNAcentral's name for it is "bacterial SSU rRNA". It matches the Rfam family "Bacterial small subunit ribosomal RNA", at positions 470 to 776 of the family's 1533-position model. The record is from RNAcentral.